GUUGAACGCUGGCGGCAUGCUUUACACAUGCAAGUCGAACGGCAGCGCGGGCUUCGGCCUGGCGGCGAGUGGCGAACGGGUGAGUAAUGCAUCGGAACGUGCCCAGUAGUGGGGGAUAGCCCGGCGAAAGCCGGAUUAAUACCGCAUACGACCUGAGGGGGAAGGCGGGGGACCGAAAGGCCUCGCGCUAUUGGAGCGGCCGAUGUCGGAUAAGCUAGUUGGUGGGGUAAAGGCUUACCAAGGCGACGAUCCGUAGCUGGUCUGAGAGGACGACCAGCCACACUGGGACUGAGACACGGCCCAGACUCCUACGGGAGGCAGCAGUGGGGAAGUUUGGACAAUGGGGGCAACCCUGAUCCAGCCAUGCCGCGUGCGGGAAGAAGGCCUUCGGGUUGUAAACCGCUUUUGUUCGGGAAGAAAUCCUCUGGGCUAAUACCCCGGGGGGAUGACGGUACCGGAAGAAUAAGCACCGGCUAACUACGUG
Molecule: ribosomal RNA, 484 nt
Filed under: uncultured bacterium
Lineage: Bacteria
Description: partial 16S ribosomal RNA
Rfam family: Bacterial small subunit ribosomal RNA
Source: RNAcentral